UCCGAGGACGGUGUCGGCGUCGGCGUCGGCGUCGGGGGAGACGGAGGCGGCGGGCACGCCUUCCGGUGUCCCUUCUUCGUCGGGCUUCCUCCGAUGAUCGGAAUGGGCGGGAGGCUGACCGGCGGCAGCCCGCUGACAGGGGGUAAGGUGACGGGCGGGACGGGGAGCUUCGGGAUGGGGACCGACGGUAUACUGACAGGCGGCAGGGGCACCGACGGUAUGCUGACAGGCGGCAAGGGGACUGACGGUAUGCUGAUAGGGGGCAGGGGGACGCCGGUCGAGGGUGGCGAGCCGGACUCGCACGAGUGGCACUCCGGCUCCGCCUUCUCCCACGCGAGAGCGAGCGGGGACGAGGAGAGCGCGAGCAUGGCGAGCACCAGCA
RNAcentral lists this long non-coding RNA (382 nucleotides) under Sorghum bicolor (sorghum). Its description in RNAcentral is "long non-coding RNA (SBIC_LNC011458)". Lineage: Eukaryota; Viridiplantae; Streptophyta; Magnoliopsida; Poales; Poaceae. The record is from RNAcentral.